UUCCCUUAGUAAUGGCGAAUGAAGAGGGAAAAGCCCAGAUUUGUAAUCAAAUCUUUUUUUAAAGGUUUGAGUUGUAAUCUUGAGAACUAUUUUCUGUGUUGGAUCAUAUAGAAGUUUGUUGGAAAACAGCAUCAUAGAAGGUGACAAUCCUGUAAAUGAUAUGAAUAUACCAAGCACAAAUAUGAUAUAGUUUCUAAGAGUCAAGUUGUUUGGGAAUGCAGCUUAAAGUGGGUGGUAAAUUCCAUCUAAGGCUAAAUAUAGGUGAGAGACCGAUAGCAAACAAGUACCGUGAGGGAAAGAUGAAAAAAACUUUGGAAAGAGAGUUAACAGUAUGUGAAAUUGUUAAAAGGGAAGCACUUGGAGUUAGACUUGUUAUUGUUGGUUCAACCCUUUUUUUUUUGGGGUGUAUUCCAAUAUUAACAGACCAUGAUCAAUUUUGAAAAGUGUUGGAAAAGGGGUGUUAGAAAUGUGGCAACCCUUUUUAGAGUUGUGUUAUAGUCUUCACCUUGGAUACAAUGCUCAUGAUUGAGGACAGCAGUCUUUUAUAAGACUAUGGAUAAUGGUGUAAUAGCUUCAAAUGACCCGUCUUGAAACACGGACCAAGGAGUCUAGCAUGCUUGCAAGUAUUUGGGCAUCAUUCAAUCCCUUAUGCGUAAUGAAAGUGAAUGUAAAUGAGAUCUGAUUAUUUAGUGCAUCAUUGACCAGUCCUGAUUAUAUAUAUGAGGGUACUGAGUAAGAGCAAGUAUGCUGGGACCCGAAAGAUGGUGAACUAUGCCUGAAUAGGGUGAAGCCAGAGGAAACUCUGGUGGAAGCUCGUAGCAGUUCUGACGUGCAAAUCGAUUGUCAAAUUUGGGUAUAGGGGCGAAAGACUAAUCGAACCAUCUAGUAGCUGGUUCCUGCC
Molecule: ribosomal RNA, 901 nt
Filed under: Skierka robusta
Lineage: Eukaryota; Fungi; Basidiomycota; Pucciniomycetes; Pucciniales; Skierkaceae
Description: partial large subunit ribosomal RNA
Rfam family: Eukaryotic large subunit ribosomal RNA
Source: RNAcentral